Molecule: microRNA precursor, 94 nt
Filed under: Branchiostoma floridae (Florida lancelet)
Lineage: Eukaryota; Metazoa; Chordata; Leptocardii; Amphioxiformes; Branchiostomatidae
Description: mir-2060 microRNA precursor family
Rfam family: mir-2060 microRNA precursor family
Source: Rfam by way of RNAcentral
AAGGUGUGGAUGGUGUUCAGCACCAGUGACGUCACUGACGUGUGUUUACCAGUGUGUGGAUGGUGUUCAGCACCAAGGACAGGUGUGUUUACCU